CGAGGGGGUUGAGUAGGGGGUCGGGGCCUAUAGGUUGGUUGUGUAGGUGGGCAUCAGCAAGGCGAAGAAGGGUAGCCGGCCUGAAAGGGCGACUGGCCAACAACUGGAAUUGAGACACGGCCCCGACUCUUACGGGAGGCAGCAGUGGGGAAUUUUGCACAAUGGGCGAAAGCCUGAUGCAGCGACGCCGCGUGAGGGAUGACGGCCUUCGGGUUGUAAACCUCUUUCAGCAGGGAAGAAGCGAAAGUGACGGUACCUGCAGAAGAAGCGCCGGCUAAAUACGUGCCAGCAGCCGCGGUAAUACGUAGGGCGCAAGCGUUGUCCGGAAUUAUUGGGGGUAAAGAGCUUGUAGGCGGCUUGUCACGUCGGUUGUGAAAGCCCGGGGCUUAACCCCGGGUCUGCAGUCGAUACGGGCAGGCUAGAGUUCGGUAGGGGAGAUCCGAAUUCCUGGUGUAGCGGUGAAAUGCGCAGAUAUCAGGAGGAACACCGGUGGCGAAGGCGGAUUUCUGGGCCGAUCAUGACGCUGAGGAGCGAAAGCGUGGGGAGCGAACAGGAUUAGAUACCGUGGUAGUCCACGCCGUAAACGGUGGGCAAUAGGUGUGGGCAACAUUACACUUUGUCCCUGCCGCAGCUAUCCCCUUAAGUCCCCCGCCUGGGGAGUACGGA
This 666-nucleotide ribosomal RNA is filed under the name actinobacterium ASH853. RNAcentral describes it as "bacterial SSU rRNA". It matches the Rfam family "Bacterial small subunit ribosomal RNA", at positions 211 to 886 of the family's 1533-position model. The record is from RNAcentral. Lineage: Bacteria; Bacillati; Actinomycetota; Actinomycetes.